CCUAAGCUUGGUCUAGAGAGAGAGAAGCUAGGUAUUUUGGUAAGAACAGGGAUUGAUGAGCAAUAGGGACAUCCAUCAAGAUUACCUAGGCUUGGUUCGAGGAGUAUAAGGGUUGUAUAACUGGUGGAUGGUUUGAUGACGGAGACUCAGGUGUACCCUCGAAUGUAGGACUACUUCAGGAUAUGUCAUUGUUGACAAA
RNAcentral lists this long non-coding RNA (199 nucleotides) under Elaeis guineensis (African oil palm). RNAcentral describes it as "long non-coding RNA (EGUI_LNC062988)". Lineage: Eukaryota; Viridiplantae; Streptophyta; Magnoliopsida; Arecales; Arecaceae. The record is from RNAcentral.